This 118-nucleotide ribosomal RNA is filed under the name Lepisosteus oculatus (spotted gar). Lineage: Eukaryota; Metazoa; Chordata; Actinopteri; Semionotiformes; Lepisosteidae. The record is from RNAcentral.
ACAAGCAGCCAGGUCACCCUGCAACUCAGAACUGAUAGCCCACUGGAGCUCAGCAGGUGUGAGCCUGGUCAGUACCUGGACGGGAGACCUCCUGGGAAAGCUGAGGUUGCUGCUGGAA